AUUUCAGGAAAGAACCCCAAAACACUGACAUUUUCAAUAUUCUCAUCCACAAUUGUGAAGGAUUAUUUGAAAUACAAAAGCAGUAAGUGAAAACACUUUUUCCUAUAGCUUUUUUCCUCCAAAUAUUUUUUCUGAAAAGUGUUUUCUGUUUUAUAGUCCUGUGUUACCUCAGACUUGAAAAUAUAUAGCAAACUUGAAACAUAUAUAAUACAAAUGAUUUAAGAAACUAUUUUACAAACUGCUGAAUGUAUAUAUUUGCCCCCAAAUUCACCUUUAAUAGCAUUGAUUUGAAUUGGCUCCCAAAUUCCAGAAAUUCAUCUUAUUCCAAGCUUAUUUCACCUUUCCCCCUUUAAUUAAUCUUGCUGAUCUUCUAACAGAAAAAUAACAUCGAUGAGGAGGGAAGAAGA
RNAcentral lists this long non-coding RNA (407 nucleotides) under Bos taurus (domestic cattle). RNAcentral describes it as "long non-coding RNA NONBTAT016562". Lineage: Eukaryota; Metazoa; Chordata; Mammalia; Artiodactyla; Bovidae. The record is from RNAcentral.